This 468-nucleotide ribosomal RNA is filed under the name uncultured bacterium. RNAcentral describes it as "partial 16S ribosomal RNA". It matches the Rfam family "Bacterial small subunit ribosomal RNA", at positions 28 to 507 of the family's 1533-position model. The record is from RNAcentral.
GACGAACGCUGGCGGCGUGCUUAACACAUGCAAGUCGAACGGAAAGGCCCUGCUUUUGUGGUGUGCUCGAGUGGCGAACGGGUGAGUAACACGUGAGUAACCUGCUCUUGACUUUGGGAUAACUUCAGGAAACUGGGGCUAAUACCGGAUAGGAGCUCCUGCUGCAUGGUGGGGGUUGGAAAGUUUCGGCGGUUGGGGAUGGACUCGCGGCUUAUCAGCUUGUUGGUGGGGUAGUGGCUUACCAAGGCUUUGACGGGUAGCCGGCCUGAGAGGGUGACCGGCCACAUUGGGACUAAGAUACGGACCAGACGCCUACGGGGGACAGCAGUGGGGAAUAUUGCACAAUGAGCGGGAGCCUGAUGAAGCAACGCCGCGUGCGGGAUGACGGCCUUCGGGGUGUAAACCGCUUUAGCCUGUGACGAAGCGUGAGUGACGGUAAUGGAUAAAGAAGCACCGGCUAACUACGUG